Molecule: non-coding RNA, 23 nt
Filed under: Arabidopsis thaliana (thale cress)
Lineage: Eukaryota; Viridiplantae; Streptophyta; Magnoliopsida; Brassicales; Brassicaceae
Source: RNAcentral
GCGCUGAUGCGACGGUCGUUUAU